Amaranthus tricolor (Joseph's coat) is the source of this 1452-nucleotide long non-coding RNA. RefSeq lists it as uncharacterized. The transcript has 3 exons. Lineage: Eukaryota; Viridiplantae; Streptophyta; Magnoliopsida; Caryophyllales; Amaranthaceae. The record is from RefSeq and is a predicted model, not a curated record.
UGGGGUGUUACAAAGACCAUUUGGGUGAGGGUUCCUAAGGGUGCAGGUCAUGCUCACAGAUACAUGCCCCCUGUCUUCUGAAGUAAGCCCAACUUUAGACCUUCACUUUCUAUGGAGGAAGUGAACCAGCUUUCCAGGUAAGAGAGGCACGCCUUUGUCUAUUUCUCCAAGGUUACUGAGCCAACAGUCCCUCUUGGCUGGCUUCCUGAUGCUUCCAAUCUGAGGCAAGACAUCUGCUUGCUUACAUGUAGUUACUUCCUAACUUGCUAAUUUGUCUCUCUCUUUGUGCUUCUGGAGGAAUCUGUAAAGAAGGUGGAUUGGAGGAUGCUUGGGAUUUCUCCGUUUGUUCGGUAUUUGCAUUAGCCUCCUUUGACUCCUUCAACAGACACUUUCAAAGAAUACUGCCUCUGGGGCAUGUUGAGCUAUGUGAGUUCCUCUCUUUUGGUUCGUAAGUAUGCAUAACUCUUCUGGAGGUGAGAACCCAUUUGGACUUGAGGUGUUUUUCUUUUCUCUCUAUUCUUUGCUUAUUUUGUAACUCUUGUAUUUGUUGUAAUGCCAAGCUGUAAGACAAAGAGGACUUAACCCUCUCGGGUAGAUGCUGCUGGUGCUGUUGAUCCACCAGUUCCCUAGAUGAUGUUUAAAUGAGAGGGGUAGAUCCUCUGGUCAGGAGGAAAGUGGAACAUGCUCCUGAUGUCCCUUUUCCAACUGAUGGGAGGGAGUUGCUGAAGAGGUGGCCUAACUUAUUCCUCUAACUAGGUCCAUAUCUCUGGGAUUUUCUGUUGUCGGGUUUAUCUCUUAAGAUUCAAAUUCAUCUUCGAAACCGGGGAUGUAGUUUCCUCUUCCCCUGUCUCAUCUCCCCCGAUUCAGUCUACACCUGCUCUGGAAGCUAUACUAGUGUCUCCAAAGCAGGUCCUUCUUUUAUCAACGUGGUGCUCUUCCUCCAUCAAUUGAUCUUGCUGGUAUCCAGGACAGGGCAAACAUCAUUUGGAGGACCUUGAAAAGGAGGGGGCCAAUCCCUAGAAACUUAGGGAUGAGACCUCUUAUCUCAACAAGAUAUCCAGCAGUAGGUAUCUCCUUCUCACCAGGAGAUGGACCAAAUUUUCUUGGACUCUCAAAUUUUUUAGAUUAGAUGUAAUUUAGGUCUAGAUAUAUUUAGGUUAAAUUCAUACUAGUUUAGCUAAUAAAACAAAAGUUUAAUGAUUAAAAUUAAUAAGGUCCUAAGAAUGUAUUAAUCGAUAAAACGCAAGCUUGAAAUCAAUUAGAUUGUUUUUAGUUAUAUUAAAGAUUCCAUUUCAUAUAAUUGUGAGAAUAAUUGAUUUCUAUACUAGUAUUAAGUGAUUUCUGACAUUAUAAACUCUUUAUAUUAUUAAUUAAACCUCGUAUUUUCAGCCUUAGUUUAUUUAAUUAAUAGGCUUUAAUAUAUAUUUGUAUUGUUAUUUUGUGUUGCAUGAU